AACGGCCAUACAAUGUUGAAUAUACCGGUAUUUCGUUAGAUCACCGAAGUCAAGCAUCAUUGGGCGCGGUCAGUACUUGGGUGGGUGACCACCUGGGAACACCGCGUGCCGUU
RNAcentral lists this ribosomal RNA (113 nucleotides) under Caerostris darwini. The record is from RNAcentral. Lineage: Eukaryota; Metazoa; Arthropoda; Arachnida; Araneae; Araneidae.